CGCACGCGUGCGCACCGGAAGAGCGCCGCAGCAGCAGCAUCAACAACAUUCUGGAGUGAAAUGGCGUAACGCGACAUCCACCGCCGCAGCGCAAUGGGGCCAGGCUCAACGAGUGUCCGAGCCUGGCCCGCCGUACUCCCGUCAAUAAGAAAGCUGAUAAAGCCUUUGGGACACCGUUACAGUUUUCUUUCUUCCAGGCCCGCACCAGAUGAGGGGAAACAGUAGUACCCCUCCUAUUCCAUAUCAAGAAGUCAAAGAGUCACAACAUGUUUAAUCUGAACAUAAGAACAUGAAGAACUCAUGACCAGAUAAGAGACCAUGCUGUCGUGGUUCUUUAAACGACCUUCUAUCCAUCCUGAUUCUCUGCCCUUCCUCCAGCAUUAUGUCAGGGAAGUGUUCAGUCAACACACCAAAUGUCAUUGGUCUAUGAACAUAUAAUAUCUGCACUUUGAAGAAGACCGCUAUUAACGGGAGAAUCUAAAGAAAACGUGUCCAAACAAGUCCAUAAUUGUGCCACAGUCUGCACCAGAGCAAUUAUCUGGUCAUUUUUGGUAUUAGACAAAUGCAUAUUAAUCUAAUAAAGUAUUUAUAUGGUUGCAGGUUGUGUUAGCAGGAAGUGAAAAUGGAGUUAGGGACAGAGAAUAUAUAGAGUGCACUUGCUUUGCAGGUACAAUGUUUGUAUGUUAAAAAGCCAAAUCAUGCACGCAACCUGCAUUUCAGCUAAAGUAGCUUCAACCAACUCUUUUAGUACCUGCAGAUUAAGUGCCUAGACAUUGUUGUGUCUCGAGAGUCUAUUGCUAUGUCUUUGCACUAACCCUACAGGAAGCACUGCUUGGUCAUUUUGUCUUUGAAAUCGACAGUAAACUGUAGACAAAUAGCUGUUCUCCUAAUUCAGAACUCAUAAUGGUGCUUCAGCAAAAUCAUGAACCAUAGUUUCAUGUACUUUAUGAACUUUUCAUGUACUGACAAACCAAGACAGACAGGCUCGCUGACAUAACACAAGCAUACUUUAUAAAAUCCUCCAUUUACCUUUCUAUUGGGGGUGAGAUUUUAGUGAGAUGCGAGAGAUGAUGAAAUAAAGAUAUUUAACUACCUCAGAUGAGUAAAGUUACCACAGCUCAGAUCCACACAGCAAGCAAACUAAUAUUCAGAAAGUUCACAUGUUUUUCUAGCUGUAUUACAUAAAAAUACCAGUUCUUGUCUGUCAAAUGGUUUGGUAAUCUGAUGCCCAUAGACCUUAUUCAAGCAAGCGCCAUCUUUGAUUUUUAAUGGGAAUGACAACGAGGCUGUAAGGGAUAGACUCACAGUCUCUUCAAUGGCACGAAUGGUAUAAAGCUGUAUAAAGCUCCUAGAUCAGAUUUUCCACAACUAAUGUUGUCUGGAGUUCUUUGUAUACUGAAUGUUCUUGGACAGAUAUUUUGUCAAUGUUUUGUCCAUGGAACGAUCCAAAAACACUUUAAACUGCUGUACAGCCCACUGAAAAGACUGUAGGGCUUUCCCGCACAGCCUCGUUGUCAUUCCCAUUAAAAAUCAAAGAUGGCGCUAGCGUGAAUAAGGUCUAUGUGUGUUCAAGAGGAGUGAGUUUUUUUUAUUUUUUUAUUUGUAAUUUAUUUUUUGUGUUAAUGGUUGUGGGAAUACAUAUCACACUUAACAGCAUAGAUACCUUAUUGAUCACUGGUUGAAUAUGUGUCCUGGGUUACAGUGAGUUUAUCAUCCUCUGUGAAUAACAUAAGGCCUGAUGAAAGGCUGUUGAACAAUUAGAUUGUGUUACAAUAAAGAUGCACGUCUUAAAUCAGACACCUUAAAAAGAAUAAGGGGCUGUUCAAACUGAUUAAGCUGUUUUUCUGUGUAAAACAAAGAAGGAUGUCUGUGACAGGAGUGCCAUGUUUUUAGAUGCCAUGACAAGUCAAAAAGAACAUCAAUUUUCAUCUUGAGACACCUACGUUCUGUUCUAUUUGUUGCAUUGCAUCUAGCUUUUUUGCGGGAGAACGUGUUCAGUCUAAAAAGCCCCUAAAAUGGUCUUUGGGUAUCUGACACAGAUUAGAUUGUGCCUGGGCUACAGUGCACUGUGAAACAUAAUUCUGCACUGAAAGACAUUUAAGCCCAGGACAUGAUUUGAUCUGUGCUGUAAAAAUGCACCCUAGUUAAUAUUUAGUUGUACAGUUGCUUCUAUCAAUGGAAUGAUUGGACUGCUAGAAAUAAGAGUGUUACGUACCCCAUUAUAUGAGAUGACUCUGUGAGCGAUUUUUCAUAGGCAAAAAAGUAGUCAGGCCUCUGUGUGGAAAUUGUGCAAUAUUCAUUUCUUUCCUUCUUGUUUUGAGAUAAAUAUGUAUAUUGCACCAACAAGUGACAAGUUGUUCGCAAAAACAACAAAAUCACCAAUGUCUUCCAUUAAAUGAUGUAUAGUUUCAUCCGCUUGCUUUAGGGUGACGGGAUUUGUAGUGCCAGCAUUAAACAUGGCCAUGCAUGUAUGGUAGCGAUGCUUGCUGAAUUUAAUAGUCGUAGUGACAUUCAAUAUAUGCUAUAAGCUGUUUAGAAAACAAAUAAAGUAAGACAAAGAUUUAGUUAGUAUCCACCAUGGAUGCAGCAUCCAUACCUGAUCGAUUUGAUUAAGAGGCAAGUCA
Molecule: long non-coding RNA, 2624 nt
Organism: Myxocyprinus asiaticus (Chinese sucker)
Lineage: Eukaryota; Metazoa; Chordata; Actinopteri; Cypriniformes; Catostomidae
Exons: 3
Source: RefSeq, a predicted model, not a curated record